GCCCUGAUGGUCUAGCGGUAUGAUUCUCCCUUAGGGUUGACAUUUGUCAGCGCACAUGGGAGAGGUCCCAGGUUCGAUCCCUGGUUAGGGCC
This is a non-coding RNA of Colletotrichum noveboracense, 92 nucleotides long. NCBI's taxonomy places the organism in Eukaryota, Fungi, Ascomycota, Sordariomycetes, Glomerellales, Glomerellaceae. The record is from the annotation of a GenBank genome assembly.